RNAcentral lists this long non-coding RNA (1238 nucleotides) under Sus scrofa (pig). RNAcentral's name for it is "lncRNA (ENSSSCG00005007110.1)". Lineage: Eukaryota; Metazoa; Chordata; Mammalia; Artiodactyla; Suidae. The record is from RNAcentral.
GCACUCUGAAGACAAAGAUCCUAUGUGCUGGUUUGAUACGGCUAAGAAAAUGAUGAGGAACACUAGGAAGGAACAAAAGAAAACAUGUUCUUUUUGUAGGAAAUGGUGAUAUGUCCCCCUUUGCGGAAUUAGCCCCAAAGACUAAGGAGUCUUACCAUCUCUAUAAAAUAGGAUGAUAAUUGUGUUUCUCAAAGUGGUAAGGAUUGAAUGAGAAACUGCAAGUAAAACUUUAGGCAUAGUUAUAGGCACCAGUAAUCAUACCAAAAAUGUAAACUAUCACUAUUUUAUCUUUCUUAUUCUUUUUUUGUUUGUUUGUUUGUUUGUUUGUUUUUGGGUUUUUUUGUUUUUUUUUUUUUUGUCUUUUUGCCAUUUCUUGGGCCACUCCCAGGCUAGUGGUCGAAUCGGAGCUGUAGCCACUGGCCUACGCCACAGCCACAGCAACGCAGAAUCCGAGCCGCGUCUGUGAUCCACACCACAGCUCACGGCAAUGCCGGAUCUUUUAACCCACAGAGCAAGGCCAGGGAUCGAACCCACAACCUCAUGGUUCCUAGUCAGAUUAGCUAACCACUGAGCCACUACGGGAACUCCUCUUUUUCUUUUUUUGCUUUUUUUUUUUUUGGCUGCAUCCACGGCAUGUGGAAGUUCCUGGGCCAGGAAUCCAACCUGUGCAGCAAUGCCCAAUCUUUAACCCACAAGGGAAUUUGCUGUUUCUUUUAUUUUUAUGCUCCUUGUUACCUACCCUCACUCCCAAAUCCACCUUCUGAUGGUCAGUUGAUUAGAUUCAUUAAUAGAAUUAAUAGAAUUACUGACCAGACUUUCCUUGGCCUGGGAGAAAAGUGUACUUUGUACUAUAGUUCUCAGGAGAACCAAGAUCUCCUUUAGUUCUCACUGUUGCCCCCAUGUAAAGCUUGCAAUAAUUUUGAUUUAGGUGUUUUUUUGCGGGGGAGGGGGGGACUCAUUAAGCAAGAGAAUCAACAAAUUGAGGAGAAAUGUGCUAAUUUUCUAAGUUAACAAUAAGCAAGACUCUUCCCACCCACUUUGAGGGUAAAACCUAGAGCUACACCUGAAUACUCCCAUCGCCUCUGUAUCUACUGAGGACAUGUGUGACAUAACCCAAUUUAGCAGACGUUUAUUGAAUACCUGCUGUGUUCGGCUCCCUGUCUAGGCACUAGAGGAUACAAAGGUGAUCCAAGAUGUGUUUCUCGAGUUUAAUGGUCAGAAUGGUUAGAAAAAAAAAA